Oreochromis aureus is the source of this 1195-nucleotide long non-coding RNA. RefSeq lists it as uncharacterized. NCBI's taxonomy places the organism in Eukaryota, Metazoa, Chordata, Actinopteri, Cichliformes, Cichlidae. The transcript has 4 exons. The record is from RefSeq and is a predicted model, not a curated record.
CCUCCAUAACUGGGCUGCUGCUGCUGGUCAUACUGCUACUAGUGCUGAGACGAUGCAUCCAGAGAAAAACUGGAGUGAGUGAUGCUGUGACAGCUGCCACCUCUUCAUCAGUGAGAAGAACAUCAGCAGAUGAUGGAAAUGGGUCAAAGAUGAUGAGAGAGAGCGAUCCAGCGGCAGUUUAUUCUUCAGUGCACAGAACAUCUGACAUCAACUAUGCACAGAUCCCCAUCAAGAUGAACUGCAGACAGAGAGAUCUUCCAUCAGAGCCAGCGGUCAUCUACUCCUCACUCAAGCCGAGCCACACACCUUCACCACAGUGUAACCAGUCUGAGUAGUGACGUCCAGCUGGCUGCUACAUCCCUGCACUCCUCUAAAUUAUAUAUUAUUUAUUUAAUCAUAUACUGUGUGUGUUUACAGUCGUACAGCUGCACUGAACCAGUUUGAAUGUAGAGUUCAGGAUGAAGUGCAAAGUGUUAUGUAAUUAUGUUUUUGUUGUUACAGUGUCACGUUUGCUAUUGUUAUUACCAUGGCUGUUACAGUUAUUGUUAACAUUGUUGUUAUUAUUGCUACUAUUGUUGUUCUAAAUGUUGUUAAUUUUAUUACUUUGGUAGUUAAUGUUGUUACUGUUACCUACUCGAAUCAACUCACAAUGGUUCACCAUUAUCUUCAGGGUUUUCCUUUUGGUAAUACUACCUGGUACCAGAUACUAAAAUAAUACCUGCUCAGCCAGGGUUCAUGUGACAUUGUCAGACUGCAUAUCUCAUAUUUGCUGGUAAACAGCGUCACUCAAUUAGUCCGGAGAGUGUGUCUUUCACAAAAAUCAAAAGUGCCAUUUUGAAACCUGGUAAAGGGGAAAAUGGCGACAAAAACCAGCACCGAAGCCCCCGAGUCUGACAGAAAGCCACAGACCAAUUCUCAGUUCAGUUUCAGUUUUAUUUGUCAUAUGCAAGUAAGCACAGGGUCUACAUUACAAUGAAAUGUAUUUGACGAGCAGAAAACAGUCACUCAGCAGUAUAGUACAGUAAAAGAUAGUAAAAAACAAACAAAAUAUAUAUAUAAAAUAUAGUGAAAAAUACAGUAAAAAUGUUAACAGACUAAACAUCAUCUGUAAGAGUUUUUAUUUUUAUUUAAAUACUAAUAAAAAUGAAGUGAGCAGUGCAGAGUGUAGUAUGUACCUGUGAAACUGUAGGACAGC